Molecule: ribosomal RNA, 514 nt
Filed under: uncultured bacterium
Lineage: Bacteria
Description: partial 16S ribosomal RNA
Rfam family: Bacterial small subunit ribosomal RNA
Source: RNAcentral
GAUGAACGCUGGCGGCGUGCCUAAUACAUGCAAGUCGAGCGAACAGAUGAGAAGCUUGCUUCUCUGAUGUUAGCGGCGGACGGGUGAGUAACACGUGGGUAACCUACCUAUAAGACUGGGAUAACUCCGGGAAACCGGGGCUAAUACCGGAUAAUAUUUUGAACCGCAUGGUUCAAUAGUGAAAGACGGUUUCGGCUGUCACUUAUAGAUGGACCCGCGCCGUAUUAGCCAGUUGGUAAGGUAACGGCUUACCAAGGCGACGAUACGUAGCCGACCUGAGAGGGUGAUCGGCCACACUGGAACUGAGACACGGUCCAGACUCCUACGGGAGGCAGCAGUAGGGAAUCUUCCGCAAUGGGCGAAAGCCCGACGGAGCAACGCCGCGUGAGUGAUGAAGGUCUUCGGAUCGUAAAACUCUGUUGUUAGGGAAGAACAAAUUUGUUAGUAACUGAACAAGUCUUGACGGUACCUAACCAGAAAGCCACGGCUAACUACGUGCCAGCCGCCGCUGUAA